Molecule: ribosomal RNA, 253 nt
Filed under: uncultured bacterium
Lineage: Bacteria
Also listed under: 1 other name
Description: partial 16S ribosomal RNA
Rfam family: Bacterial small subunit ribosomal RNA
Source: RNAcentral
GACAGAGGGUGCAAACGUUGUUCGGAAUUACUGGGCGUAAAGCGCGUGUAGGCAGCUCGGAAAGUCGGAUGUGAAAGCCCUGGGCUUAACCCAGGAAGAGCAUUCGAAACUUCCGAGCUUGAGUUCCGGAGAGGAAGGCGGAAUUCUCGGUGUAGAGGUGAAAUUCGUAGAUAUCGAGAGGAACACCGGUGGCGAAGGCGGCCUUCUGGACGGUGACUGACGCUGAGACGCGAAAGCGUGGGGAGCAAACAGG